Molecule: ribosomal RNA, 301 nt
Filed under: uncultured bacterium
Lineage: Bacteria
Description: partial 16S ribosomal RNA
Rfam family: Bacterial small subunit ribosomal RNA
Source: RNAcentral
CAGUAGCCGCGGGAAUACGUAGGUGGCAAGCGUUGUCCGGAAUUAUUGGGCGUAAAGGGCUCGCAGGCGGUUUCUUAAGUCUGAUGUGAAAGCCCCCGGCUCAACCGGGGAGGGUCAUUGGAAACUGGGAAACUUGAGUGCAGAAGAGGAGAGUGGAAUUCCACGUGUAGCGGUGAAAUGCGUAGAGAUGUGGAGGAACACCAGUGGCGAAGGCGACUCUUUGGUCUGUAACUGACGCUGAGGAGCGAAAGCGUGGGGAGCGAACAGGAUUAGAUACCCCUGUAGUCCCUGUCUCUUAUAC